UAGGGAAUCUUCGGCAAUGGACGAAAGUCUGACCGAGCAACGCCGCGUGAGUGAAGAAGGUUUUCGGAUCGUAAAACUCUGUUGUUAGAGAAGAACAAGGACGUUAGUAACUGAACGUCCCCUGACGGUAUCUAACCAGAAAGCGACGGCUAACUACGUGCCAGCAGCCGCGGUAAUACGUAGGUGGCAAGCGUUGUCCGGAUUUAUUGGGCGUAAAGCGAGCGCAGGCGGUUUCUUAAGUCUGAUGUGAAAGCCCCCGGCUCAACCGGGGAGGGUCAUUGGAAACUGGGAGACUUGAGUGCAGAAGAGGAGAGUGGAAUUCCAUGUGUAGCGGUGAAAUGCGUAGAUAUAUGGAGGAACACCAGUGGCGAAGGCGGCUCUCUGGUCUGUAAAUGACGCUGAGGCUCGAAAGCGUGGGGAGCAAACAGG
This 429-nucleotide ribosomal RNA is filed under the name Gemmatimonadota bacterium. Its description in RNAcentral is "Gemmatimonadetes bacterium partial 16S ribosomal RNA". It matches the Rfam family "Bacterial small subunit ribosomal RNA", at positions 355 to 776 of the family's 1533-position model. Lineage: Bacteria; Pseudomonadati; Gemmatimonadota. The record is from RNAcentral.